AACUGUAGGUUGUUCAAGGUGCUGAGUGUUAUUAGGAGACCCCAUUCCCCUCACAGAGCUAGAAUUCCUUGCAAAGAGGUUUUUAAACCAUUCUGUGGGGAGAAUAGGGGUCUCCUGACAACUCUCAGCACCCUUAACAACCUACGGUU
Non-coding RNA from Podarcis lilfordi (Lilford's wall lizard), 149 nucleotides. NCBI's taxonomy places the organism in Eukaryota, Metazoa, Chordata, Lepidosauria, Squamata, Lacertidae. The record is from the annotation of a GenBank genome assembly.